AUUGAACGCUGGCGGCAUGCCUUACACAUGCAAGUCGAACGGCAGCAUGGAGAGCUUGCUCUCUGAUGGCGAGUGGCGAACGGGUGAGUAAUGCAUCGGAACGUACCGUGUAAUGGGGGAUAACGUAGCGAAAGUUACGCUAAUACCGCAUACGACCUGAGGGUGAAAGCAGGGGAUCGCAAGACCUUGCGCUAUACGAGCGGCCGAUGUCAGAUUAGCUAGUUGGUGAGGUAAAGGCUCACCAAGGCGACGAUCUGUAGCGGGUCUGAGAGGAUGAUCCGCCACACUGGGAGUGAGACACGGCCCAGACUCCUACGGGUGGAAGCAGUGGGGAAUUUUGGACAAUGGGGGCAACCCUGAUCCAGCCAUGCCGCGUGAGUGAAGAAGGCCUUCGGGUUGUAAAGCUCUUUCGGCAGGGAAGAAAUCGCACAGGCUAAUACUCUGUGUGGAUGACGGUACCGGCAUAAGAAGCACCGGCUAACUACGUGCCAGCAGCAGCCGCGG
This 504-nucleotide ribosomal RNA is filed under the name uncultured bacterium. RNAcentral's name for it is "partial 16S ribosomal RNA". It matches the Rfam family "Bacterial small subunit ribosomal RNA", at positions 30 to 523 of the family's 1533-position model. The record is from RNAcentral.